AUUGAACGCUGGCGGCAGGCCUAACACAUGCAAGUCGAGCGGAUGAAGGGAGCUUGCUCCUGGAUUCAGCGGCGGACGGGUGAGUAAUGCCUAGGAAUCUGCCUGGUAGUGGGGGAUAACGUCCGGAAACGGGCGCUAAUACCGCAUACGUCCUGAGGGAGAAAGUGGGGGAUCUUCGGACCUCGCGCUAUCAGAUGAGCCUAGGUCGGAUUAGCUAGUUGGUGGGGUAAAGGCCUACCAAGGCGACGAUCCGUAACUGGUCUGAGAGGAUGAUCAGUCACACUGGAACUGAGACACGGUCCAGACUCCUACGGGAGGCAGCAGUAGGGAAUAUUGGGCAAUGGGCGAAAGCCUGAUCCAGCCAUGCCGCGUGUGUGAAGAAGGUCUUCGGAUUGUAAAGCACUUUAAGUUGGGAGGAAGAGCAGUAAGUUAAUACCUUGCUGUUUUGACGUUACCAACAGAAUAAGCACCGGCUAACUACGUG
This 484-nucleotide ribosomal RNA is filed under the name uncultured bacterium. Its description in RNAcentral is "partial 16S ribosomal RNA". It matches the Rfam family "Bacterial small subunit ribosomal RNA", at positions 30 to 507 of the family's 1533-position model. The record is from RNAcentral.